RNAcentral lists this ribosomal RNA (462 nucleotides) under uncultured bacterium. RNAcentral's name for it is "partial 16S ribosomal RNA". It matches the Rfam family "Bacterial small subunit ribosomal RNA", at positions 28 to 507 of the family's 1533-position model. The record is from RNAcentral.
GACGAACGCUGGCGGCGUGCUUAACACAUGCAAGUCGAGCGGUAAGGCCUUUCGGGGUCCACGAGCGGCGAACGGGUGAGUGACACGUGGGUGAUCUGCCCUGCACUUCGGGAUAAGCCUGGGAAACUGGGUCUAAUACCGGAUAUGACCUCCUAUCGCAUGGUGGGUGGUGGAAAGAUUUAUCGGUGCAGGAUGGGCCCGCGGCCUAUCAGCUUGUUGGUGGGGUAAUGGCCUACCAAGGCGACGACGGGUAGCCGACCUGAGAGGGUGACCGGCCACACUGGGACUGAGACACGGCCCAGACUCCUACGGGAGGCAGCAGUGGGGAAUAUUGCACAAUGGGCGAAAGCCUGAUGCAGCGACGCCGCGUGAGGGAUGACGGCCUUCGGGUUGUAAACCUCUUUCAGCAGGGACGAAGCGCAAGUGACGGUACCUGCAGAAGAAGCACCGGCUAACUACGUG